RNAcentral lists this ribosomal RNA (585 nucleotides) under uncultured bacterium. RNAcentral describes it as "bacterial SSU rRNA". It matches the Rfam family "Bacterial small subunit ribosomal RNA", at positions 102 to 683 of the family's 1533-position model. The record is from RNAcentral.
ACGGGUGAGUAAAGCGUAGGAAUCUGCCUAUUAGAUUGGGAUAGCUUAGGGAAACUUAAGGUAAUACCGAAUGUACCUGAGAGGGGAAAGGUUGGGAUCGCAAGACCAGCCGCUAAUAGAUGAGCCUACGUCGGAUUAGCUAGUUGGUGGGGUAAGGGCCUACCAAGGCGAUGAUCCGUAGCUGGUCUGAGAGGACGACCAGCCACACUGGGACUGAGACACGGCCCAGACUCCUACGGGAGGCAGCAGUGGGGAAUAUUGGACAAUGGGCGCAAGCCUGAUCCAGCGAUGCCGCGUGUGUGAAGAAGGCCUGCGGGUUGUAAAGCACUUUCGUUGGGGAGAACGAAGCGUUAUUUAAAAGAUGAUGUGGAAGAUGUUACCCAAAGAAGAAGCACCGGCUAACUCUGUGCCAGCAGCCGCGGUAAUACAGAGGGUGCAAGCGUUAAUCGAAAUUACUGGGCGUAAAGGGUGCGUAGGUGGUUUAAUAAGUUAGAUGUGAAAGUCCCGGGCUUAACUUGGGGAUUGCGUCUGAUACUGUUAGGCUAGAGUUCUGUAGAGGGAGGUGGAAUUUCCGGAGUAGCGGUG